Molecule: long non-coding RNA, 1537 nt
Organism: Solanum pennellii
Lineage: Eukaryota; Viridiplantae; Streptophyta; Magnoliopsida; Solanales; Solanaceae
Exons: 2
Source: RefSeq, a predicted model, not a curated record
GGGUCAUUACAUUGUGGCUCUUGACCGCCAUCGCGGAGGUUUCUGUUUAUUGUGCAUUACGAUCGCGUGGGUGGUGGUCGCAAUCGCGUAGCUGACAAGUUUUGAUAGUCGCGAUCACGAGACUCUUUAUCGCGAUAGUCAAUUAUGAGUUGAUCGGUUUAUCCAUCACAAUCCCAAGGCUUAAGGUCGCGAUCGAGAUGAAUAGUUGAUGUGUUAUCCACUAAUAUAUUCAUCUUUCGUAGUAUGUCUUUAGUCAACAAUCUGCACUGCACAGCUAACCAAAUUAUGAAUCGAUGCCUUGGUUGAGAGAUUUUGUUCCAGAUGAAUUCUGCAAUUCUCAUCUUCUUUAGACCCCUAACUUAUGAAUUGUAGCUUGCUCCUGUUGAAUAUUUUCCAUUCGCUGUCAGGACAAGCACGCCUUGUGCAUACGACUCCACCAUGUCUUUUUUUAUGGCAUUCAACUUUGUUCCCUUUCAUACGCACCCCAUGUACCCAUCGGACCCAUAAUGCAUCUUUUUUUAUGGCAUUCAACUUCUUUAAUCACGCUUUAAGGAAGUAUAAAGAUGAAUCCCCAAAAACUAUGAAUAGAGAACAAAACUGAGAUAAUCACUUGCAAUCUCCCUGCAUAUGACAAUUGCUUAGAGUAUACAAUUGUGAUUAUAUUAGUAAUCUUCUUAGUCAAUUGGUGACAAUCCAUUUUGCUCCAUUUUUUUGAAGAUAAUGGUAGCCCUAGGUACCUUAUGGGAAAAGAGCCCUGUGCAAACCACAACAAUUGAUUCCUAGUGUACUCAUCCACCCCUGCCAUGAAUAUAUGUGACUUAUCCAUAUUUGUAACUAAAGCAGUAACAGUGCUGAAGUGUUGCAAUGCCUCUAUGAUUCUAUUAACUGGUGGAACAUCUCUUUUACAAAAUAUCAUCAAAUCAUCUGCGAAUACCAAGUGUGUCAGCUUGAAUUCCUUGCAGAUUGGAUGAAAUUGGAAAUCAGGCAGCUGACUUAUACACUUCAACGUCCUGGACAAAUAUUCCAUCAGAAUCACAAACAAACGAGGCGACAUAUGAUCCCUCUGCCGUAACCCACUUCUUCCAGCAAAAUAUCUAUGUCCUUCUUCAUUCACUUUAACUGUGUACAUAAGAGUUGUGAUGCGGGCAUAACACGGUCUACAAAUCUGGGGAAAAUAAUUUUCAUGAUGUCGAGGAAAAUAGUUAUGGUGAAUGAUAACUAUGUUGAAGGGAAAUGGUUCCGGCAAUUGAGUUUAUACUGAGGGAAAAUGGUUCUGGUGGAUACAUGGACUAUGUGCGUCUCUCAUGAGUUUCAACUUGAUAUUCGGUGGAUGUUUAUCGUUAGGAUAAACAUGCAUCACUAUAUUUAACAUUUUAUUUUAUUGCAUUGCACAUUCAUUACCAUAUGUGAUCUUGUGAGUUCCUAUUGUGGAACUUGUAAUAGGUAAAGAUGAUACUUGUGUUGAUGAUUCGUAACCAGUGAAGUGUUAUUAUUGUGCUAUGUGUUAUAUAAAAGGUGAACUAUCAGAUUGAGCUGA